AGAGUUUGAUCAUGGCUCAGAAUCAACGCUGGCGGCGUGCCUAACACAUGCAAGUCGAACGAGAAAGUGGAGCAAUCCAUGAGUAAAGUGGCGACCGGGUGAGUAACACGUGACUAACCUACCCUCGAGUGUGGAAUAACAUCGGGAAACCGAUGCUAAUACCGCAUAACAUCGCAAGAUCAAAGGAGCAAUCCGCUUGAGGAGGGGGUCGCGGCUGAUUAGCUAGUUGGCGGGGUAACGGCCCACCAAGGCGAAGAUCGGUAGCCGGCCUGAGAGGGCGCACGGACACACUGGAACUGAAACACGGUCCAGACUCCUACGGGAGGCAGCAGUGGGGAAUUUUGCGCAAUGGGGGAAACCCUGACGCAGCAACGCCGCGUGGAGGAUGAAGUCUCUUGGGACGUAAACUCCUUUCGAUCGGGAAGAUUAUGACGGUACCGAUAGAAGAAGCCCCGGCUAACUUCGUGCCAGCAGCCGCGGUAAUACGAGGGGGGCAAGCGUUGUUCGGAAUUAUUGGGCGUAAAGGGUGUGUAGGCGGUUUGGUAAGUCUUGUGUGAAAUCUUCGGGCUCAACUCGAAGUCUGCACGAGAAACUGCCGGGCUUGAGUGUGGGAGAGGUGAGUGGAAUUUCCGGUGUAGCGGUGAAAUGCGUAGAUAUCGGAAGGAACACCUGUGGCGAAAGCGGCUCACUGGACCACAACUGACGCUGAGACACGAAAGCUAGGGGAGCAAACAGGAUUAGAUACCCUGGUAGUCCUAGCCCUAAACGAUGAUCGCUUGGUGUGACGGGUACCCAAUCCCGCCGUGCCGCAGCUAACGCGUUAAGCGAUCCGCCUGGGGAGUACGGUCGCA
RNAcentral lists this ribosomal RNA (851 nucleotides) under uncultured bacterium. Its description in RNAcentral is "bacterial SSU rRNA". It matches the Rfam family "Bacterial small subunit ribosomal RNA", at positions 8 to 890 of the family's 1533-position model. The record is from RNAcentral.